GGGAUUACUAGAACACCAUUGCAGCGGACUGUAACUCCGCCGGGGAGACCCAUGCCUGGUUCGAUUCCAGGGUCGCCCACCA
RNAcentral lists this transfer RNA (82 nucleotides) under Celeribacter indicus. RNAcentral describes it as "tRNA-Tyr (GTA) (tRNA-Tyr-GTA-2-1)". The record is from RNAcentral. Lineage: Bacteria; Pseudomonadati; Pseudomonadota; Alphaproteobacteria; Rhodobacterales; Roseobacteraceae.